This 201-nucleotide ribosomal RNA is filed under the name uncultured bacterium. RNAcentral's name for it is "partial 16S ribosomal RNA". It matches the Rfam family "Bacterial small subunit ribosomal RNA", at positions 1290 to 1500 of the family's 1533-position model. The record is from RNAcentral.
AGUUCGGAUUGCAGUCUGCAACUCGCCUACAUGAAGUCGGAGUUGCUAGUAAUCGCGGGUCAGAAUGCCGCGGUGAAUGCGUUCCCGGGUCUUGUACACACCGCCCGUCACACCAUGGAAGUUGGGGGCGCCCGAAGUUGCCUAAGAAAUAAGGUACCUAAGGCGAAACCAAUGACUGGGGUGAAGUCGUAACAAGGUAAC